UACGUAGUUGGCAAGCGUUGUCCGGAUUUACUGGGCGUAAAGAGCGCGCAGGCGGUCGGAUAAGUCGAAUGUGAAAGCCCCCGGCUCAACUGGGGAGGGUCAUUCGAUACUGUUCGACUCGAAGGCAGGAGAGGGAAGUGGAAUUCCCGGUGUAGUGGUGAAAUGCGUAGAUAUCGGGAGGAACACCAGUGGCGAAGGCGGCUUCCUGGCCUGUUCUUGACGCUGAGGCGCGAAAGCUAGGGGAGCAAACGGG
Molecule: ribosomal RNA, 253 nt
Filed under: uncultured bacterium
Lineage: Bacteria
Description: partial 16S ribosomal RNA
Rfam family: Bacterial small subunit ribosomal RNA
Source: RNAcentral